RNAcentral lists this ribosomal RNA (253 nucleotides) under uncultured bacterium. RNAcentral's name for it is "partial 16S ribosomal RNA". It matches the Rfam family "Bacterial small subunit ribosomal RNA", at positions 524 to 776 of the family's 1533-position model. The record is from RNAcentral.
UACGUAGGGGGCAAGCGUUAUCCGGAUUCAUUGGGCGUAAAGAGCGCGUAGGCGGAUUGUUAAGCGCGAUGUGAAAACUGGGGGCUCAACCCGCAGCUUGCAUCGCGAACUGGCAGUCUUGAGUCUGGUAGAGGAGUGUGGAAUUCCCAGUGUAGCGGUGAAAUGCGCAGAUAUUGGGAGGAACACCAGUGGCGAAGGCGGCACUCUGGGCCACGACUGACGCUGAGGCGCGAAAGCUAGGGGAGCAAACAGG